RNAcentral lists this ribosomal RNA (466 nucleotides) under uncultured bacterium. RNAcentral describes it as "partial 16S ribosomal RNA". It matches the Rfam family "Bacterial small subunit ribosomal RNA", at positions 28 to 507 of the family's 1533-position model. The record is from RNAcentral.
GAUGAACGCUGGCGGCGUGCUUAACACAUGCAAGUCGAACGAUGAAGCCCAGCUUGCUGGGUGGAUUAGUGGCGAACGGGUGAGUAACACGUGAGUACCCUGCCCUUAACUCUGGGAUAAGCCUGGGAAACUGGGUCUAAUACCGGAUAGGAGCGUCCACCGCAUGGUGGGUGUUGGAAAGAUUUAUCGGUUUUGGAUGGACUCGCGGCCUAUCAGCUUGUUGGUGAGGUAAUGGCUCACCAAGGCGACGACGGGUAGCCGGCCUGAGAGGGUGACCGGCCACACUGGGACUGAGACACGGCCCAGACUCCUACGGUGGGCAGCAGUGGGGAGUAUUGCACAGUGGGCGCAAGCCUGAUGCAGCGACGCCGCGUGAGGGAUGACGGCCUUCGGGUUGUAAACCUCUUUCAGUAGGGAAGAAGCGAAAAUGACGGUACCUGCAGAAGAAGCACCGGCUAACUACGUG